AUACAUAGCUCGUUGAGGGGAACUCGGGGAACUGAAACAUCUAAGUACCCGAAGGAAGAGAAAGAAAUUCGAUUCCGCUAGUAGCGGCGAGCGAACGCGGAACAGCCCAAACCUAAGAAGUUCGCUUCUUAGGGGUUGCGGACAUAUCAUCAGGAAGAGGUUAUUACAGACGAAGAGUUUUGGAAAGCUCCGCCAUAGAAGGUAACAGCCCUGUAGUCGAAGUGAGAAGACUUCCGAUAUGAUCCAGAGUACCACGGGACACGUGAAACCCCGUGGGAAGCAGGAGGGACCACCCUCCAAGGCUAAAUACUACCCGGUGACCGAUAGCGCAUAGUACCGUGAGGGAAAGGUGAAAAGAACCCCGGGAGGGGAG
Molecule: ribosomal RNA, 373 nt
Filed under: Acinetobacter baumannii
Lineage: Bacteria; Pseudomonadati; Pseudomonadota; Gammaproteobacteria; Moraxellales; Moraxellaceae
Description: partial 23S ribosomal RNA
Rfam family: Bacterial large subunit ribosomal RNA
Source: RNAcentral